AGGACGAACGCUGGCGGCGUGCUUCAUACAUGCAAGUCGAACGAGAAGCUGACUUCGGUCAGUGGAAAGUGGCGGACGGGUGAGUAAUAUGUAGAGAAUCUGCCCUUGAGUGGGGGACAACAGAGGGAAACUUCUGCUAAUACCCCAUAUGAGCUAACUUGAAAUAGUUAUCUUGAAAACUCCGGUGCUCAAGGAUGAGUCUGCAUCUGAUUAGCUAGUUGGCGGUGUAAUGGACCACCAAGGCGACGAUCAGUAGCUGGUUUGAGAGGAUGAUCAGCCACAAUGGGACUGAGACACGGCCCAUACUCCUACGGGAGGCAGCAGUAGGGAAUUUUGCGCAAUGGGCGAAAGCCCUGACGCAGCAACGCCGCGUGAACGAUUAAGCCCUUCGGGGUGUAAAGUUCUGUCAGUAGGGACGAAACUUGACGGUACCUACAGAGGAAGCACCGGCUAACUCCGUGCCAGCCGCUGC
RNAcentral lists this ribosomal RNA (472 nucleotides) under uncultured bacterium. Its description in RNAcentral is "bacterial SSU rRNA". It matches the Rfam family "Bacterial small subunit ribosomal RNA", at positions 26 to 518 of the family's 1533-position model. The record is from RNAcentral.